Long non-coding RNA from Bombina bombina (fire-bellied toad), 248 nucleotides. RefSeq lists it as uncharacterized. The transcript is spliced from 3 exons. NCBI's taxonomy places the organism in Eukaryota, Metazoa, Chordata, Amphibia, Anura, Bombinatoridae. The record is from RefSeq and is a predicted model, not a curated record.
CUCAUCUGUUAUACUGAAGUUUAGCAAUGUGUAAUCAGCUGUCUACAAAUAUAGAGAUUUACUGGAACCCAAGAAUUUGGAAGAAUGCCGCUGCCACACUCAUCUGGCAAGAUCCCACCUUGGGCCGCUGUGCAAGAAUUGAUCUAUCAAAUGCCAUCAUUGACUCACCAGUUUAUAAUCAUAUGUGAAUGUCCAUCAAAGAAAAAAGUCCAAACAGAAGGAGGCAGCACUCUGUCAAAGGAUGGUCG